GAGGAAUAAGCAUCGGCUAACUCCGUGCCAGCAGCCGCGGUAAUACGGGGGAUGCAAGCGUUAUCCGGAAUCAUUGGGCGUAAAGCGCCUGUAGGUUGUUUAAUAAGUCUGUUGUUAAAGACUAGGGCUCAACCCUAGAAAAGCAAUGGAAACUACUAGACUAGAGUAUGGCAGGGGUAGAGGGAAUUUCUAGUGUAGCGGUGAAAUGCGUAGAUAUUAGAAAGAACACCGGUGGCGAAAGCGCUCUACUGGACCAUUACUGACACUCAGAGGCGAAAGCUAGGGUAGCAAAAGGGAUUAGAUACCCCUGUAGUCCUAGCCGUAAACGAUGGAUACUAGAUGUUGUGCUUUAAUGUACAGUAUCGUAGCUAACGCGUUAAGUAUCCCGCCUGGGGAGUACGCUCGCAAGGGUGAAACUCAAAGGAAUUGACGGGGGCCCGCACAAGCGGUGGAGCAUGUGGUUUAAUUCGAUGCAACGCGAAGAACCUUACCAGGGCUUGACAUACUACAAAUUCUUUAGAGAUAGAGAAGUGCCUUCGGGAAUGUAGAUACAGGUGGUGCAUGGCUGUCGUCAGCUCGUGUCGUGAGAUGUUGGGUUAAGUCCCGCAACGAGCGCAACCCUUAUUUUUAGUUACUAACUUGUUAGGUUUUCUAGAAAGACUGCCGGUGACAAACCGGAGGAGGGUAAGGAUGACGUCAAGUCAGCAUGCCCCUUAUGUCCUGGGCUACACACGUGCUACAAUGGUUAAGACAAAGAGUCGCGAGCUCGCAAGAGUCAGCUAAUCUCAUAAACUUAGCCUAAGUUCAGAUUGUAGGCUGCAACUCGCCUACAUGAAG
RNAcentral lists this ribosomal RNA (837 nucleotides) under Haptophyta environmental samples. Its description in RNAcentral is "bacterial SSU rRNA". It matches the Rfam family "Bacterial small subunit ribosomal RNA", at positions 481 to 1325 of the family's 1533-position model. The record is from RNAcentral. Lineage: Eukaryota; Haptophyta.